Molecule: long non-coding RNA, 714 nt
Organism: Epinephelus fuscoguttatus (brown-marbled grouper)
Lineage: Eukaryota; Metazoa; Chordata; Actinopteri; Perciformes; Serranidae
Exons: 3
Source: RefSeq, a predicted model, not a curated record
GUCAGCGUGGGUUUCCUCCAGGUGCUCCCACAUGUUCUCCCUGUGUCAGCGUGGGUUUCCUCCAGGUGCUCCCACAUGUUCUCCCCGUGUCAGCGUGGGUUUCCUCCAGGUGCUCUGACAUGUUCUCCCUGUGUCAGUGUGGGUUUCCUCCAGGUGCUCCCACAUGUUCUCCCUGUGUCAGCGUGGGUUUCCUCCAGGUGCUCUCACAUGUUCUCCCCGUGUCAGCGUGGGUUUCCUCCAGGUGCUCUGACAUGUUCUCCCUGUGUCAGCGUGGGUUUCCUCCAGGUGCUCCGACAUGUUCUCCCUGUGUCAGCGUGGGUUUCCUCCAGGUGCUCUGACAUGUUCUCCCUGUGUCAGUGUGGGUUUCCUCCAGGUGCUCUGACAUGUUCUCCCUGUGUCAGCGUGGGUUUCCUCCAGGUGCUCUGACAUGUUCUCCCUGUGUCAGCGUGGGUUUCCUCCAGGUGCUCUGACAUGUUCUCCCCGUGUCAGCGUGGGUUUCCUCCAGGUGCUCUGACAUGUUCUCCCCGUGUCAGCGUGGGUUUCCUCCAGGUGCUCCGACAUGUUCUCCCCGUGUCAGUGUGGGUUUCCUCCAGGUGCUCUGACAUGUUCUCCCUGUGUCAGCGUGGGUUUCCUCCAGGUGCUCUGACAUGUUCUCCCCGUGUCAGCGUGGGUUUCCUCCAGGUGCUCUGACAUGUUCUCCCCGUGUCAGCGUGG